AAACCGCNAAAGGCUCAUUAAAUCANUUAUGGUUCCUUANAUCGUACCACAAUUACUUGGAUAACUGUGGUAAUUCUANANCUAAUACAUGCAAACAGAGCUCCGACCGGAGACGGGAGGAGUGCUUUUAUUAGAUCAAAACCAAUCGGUGGCGGGUUCGCGCCCGUCAUCGUACAACUUGGUGACUCUGAAUAACUUUACNCUGAUCGCACGGUCAUCGCGCCGGCGACGCAUCUUUCAAAUGUCUGCCUUAUCAACUGUCGAUGGUAGGUUCUGCGCCUACCAUGGUCGUAACGGGUAACGGGGAAUCAGGGUUCGAUUCCGGAGAGGGAGCCUGAGAAACGGCUACCACAUCCAAGGAAGGCAGCAGGCGCGCAAAUUACCCACUCCCGGCACGGGGAGGUAGUGACGAAAAAUAACGAUACGGGACUCAUCCGAGGCCCCGUAAUCGGAAUGAGUACACUCUAAACCCUUUAACGAGGAUCAAUUGGAGGGCAAGUCCGGUGCCAGCAGCCGCGGUAAUUCCAGCUCCAAUAGCGUAUAUUAAAGUUGUUGCGGUUAAAAAGCUCGUAGUCGAAUUUGUGUCUCGCGCCGCCGGUUCAUCGUCCGCGGUGUCAACUGGCGAUUCGCGAGACGUCCUGCCGGUGGACUUAGCCGCGCGCGCGCCUUUAACCGGGGUCGCGCGCGGCGGUCCAACUCAAUCCCGCCGCGGUGCUCUUCACUGAGUGUCGAGGUGGGCCGGCACGUUUACUUUGAACAAAUUAGAGUGCUUAAAGCAGGCUAAAACUUCGCCUGAAUACUGUGUGCAUGGAAUAAUGGAAUAGGACCUCGGUUCUAUUUUGUUGGUUUUCGGAACCCCGAGGUAAUGAUUAAUAGGAACGGAUGGGGGCAUUCGUAUUGCGACGUUAGAGGUGAAAUUCUUGGAUCGUCGCAAGACGGACAGAAGCGAAAGCAUUUGCCAAAAACGCUUUCAUUGAUCAAGAACGAAAGUUAGAGGUUCGAAGGCGAUCAGAUACCGCCCUAGUUCUAACCUUAAACGAUGCCAGCUAGCGAUCCGUCGACGUUCCUCCGAUGACUCGACGGGCAGCUUCCGGGAAACCAAAGCUUUUGGGUUCCGGGGAAGUAUGGUUGCAAAGCUGAAACUUAAAGGAAUUGACGGAAGGGCACCACCAGGAGUGGAGCCUGCGGCUUAAUUUGACUCAACACGGGAAACCUCACCAGGCCCGGACACCGGAAGGAUUGACAGAUUGAGAGCUCUUUCUUGAUUCGGUGGGUGGUGGUGCAUGGCCGUUCUUAGUUGGUGGAGCGAUUUGUCUGGUUAAUUCCGAUAACGAACGAGACUCUAGCCUGCUAACUAGGCGUAUUACGACAUCCCAAAGGCCCGCCGCACGCUCGGGUGCGCCUCGAGUCGGGCGCGCGUGGUUUUUACUGUCGGCGUACAAACAAAUCUUCUUAGAGGGACAGGCGGCUUCUAGCCGCACGAGAUUGAGCAAUAACAGGUCUGUGAUGCCCUUAGAUGUUCUGGGCCGCACGCGCGCUACACUGAAGGAAUCAGCGUGUCCUCCCUGACCGAGCGGUCCGGGUAACCCGCUGAACCUCCUUCGUGCUAGGGAUUGGGGCUUGCAAUUGUUCCCCAUGAACGAGGAAUUCCCAGACGUGAGUCAUAAGCUCGCGUUGAUUACGUCCCUGCCUUUGUACACA
Molecule: ribosomal RNA, 1701 nt
Filed under: Ampeloglypter ampelopsis
Lineage: Eukaryota; Metazoa; Arthropoda; Insecta; Coleoptera; Curculionidae
Description: SSU rRNA
Rfam family: Eukaryotic small subunit ribosomal RNA
Source: RNAcentral